RNAcentral lists this ribosomal RNA (468 nucleotides) under uncultured bacterium. RNAcentral's name for it is "partial 16S ribosomal RNA". It matches the Rfam family "Bacterial small subunit ribosomal RNA", at positions 28 to 507 of the family's 1533-position model. The record is from RNAcentral.
GACGAACGCUGGCGGCGUGCUUAACACAUGCAAGUCGAACGGAAAGGCCCUGCUUUUGUGGGGUGCUCGAGUGGCGAACGGGUGAGUAACACGUGAGUAACCUGCCCUUGACUUUGGGAUAACUUCAGGAAACUGGGGCUAAUACCGGAUAGGAGCUCCUGCUGCAUGGUGGGGGUUGGAAAGUUUCGGCGGUUGGGGAUGGACUCGCGGCUUAUCAGCUUGUUGGUGGGGUAGUGGCUUACCAAGGCUUUGACGGGUAGCCGGCCUGAGAGGCUGACCGGCCACAUUGGGACUGAGAUACGGCCCAGACUCCUACGGGAGGCAGCAGUGGGGAAUAUUGCACAAUGGGCGGAAGCCUGAGGCAGCAACGCCGCGUGCGGGAUGACGGCCUUCGGGUUGUAAACCGCUUUCGCCUGUGACGAAGCGUGAGUGACGGUAAUGGGUAAAGAAGCACCGGCUAACUACGUG